AACUUUUAUUUGAAACGGCCUCUAUAUUACAUAACAGACAUUGAAGUAGUUUCUUACUGAAGUCAUACACAAAUCGGUCUUUACUCGCAUUUAUUUUUUUUAGAUUAAAAUCCAAACUAGUGGUCAUCCCAAAUAACCGUAAAAAUUAAUGCCCAAUUUUAAAUUUCCGGUUUGAUAAUAUAACCUAUCUACAGUAUAUAUCGUUAACAUGAUAUCGUUCAAAUAACGAAUGAAAUAUUUUGCACUGGACGUUAUUUCUCUUGUUCGUGUGUCUUUAGUGACGCUCGUAGCCUAAAAUUUAUCAAAAAUUAGAACUGUUAAAAAAAGAUGGGAGGUCAAUUCGACUGAAAGCCCGGGCCCACCGUGCAAUAUUCUGAUUAAUAUAAAAGGCAUCAUCGGAGUUUAUUAGUAUAAAAUAAUUUACAAAGUAAACGAUUAAUUCAACUGUACUAGAAUUAUUUGUAUGUUCGCUUUAAAUGAGCAUGAACUACUUGCAACUGGACA
Molecule: long non-coding RNA, 504 nt
Filed under: Mytilus galloprovincialis (Mediterranean mussel)
Lineage: Eukaryota; Metazoa; Mollusca; Bivalvia; Mytilida; Mytilidae
Source: RNAcentral